RNAcentral lists this ribosomal RNA (444 nucleotides) under Triticum aestivum (bread wheat). RNAcentral describes it as "partial small subunit ribosomal RNA". Lineage: Eukaryota; Viridiplantae; Streptophyta; Magnoliopsida; Poales; Poaceae. The record is from RNAcentral.
AUGGCAUGUGUUAACAUGUACAACCCGGAGCACCACCAGUCGUCCUUCAUGGCGCCGCGGAUGUCCUUCUCCAGCGACUUCGCGCUGGAGCCGCCGCCCGCGUCGGCGCCGUCGGCGCGCGGGCCCGGGGACGCCGACUUCGAGUUCUCCGUCGGCAGCCGCCCCAUGAUGGCCGCCGACGAGCUCUUCUCCAAGGGCCGCCUCCUGCCGCUCCGGGAGGCCCCGCACGGCCAGAGCGGCCGGCCCACGACGCUGCGCGAGGAGCUGCGCACCGACGACCGCCACGGGCGCGCGCCCCGCGCGCCCAACAUCCGGUGGAAGGAGCUGCUCGGCUUCAAGAAGGCGAACAAGAAGGCCGCGGCCGCAGCCGCCGACGCCGGCGCCAGCACGUCGUCGGCCGAGGCCCACACGGAUCUUGGAGGUCACGGAGGCACGAGAGAGUGA